Molecule: ribosomal RNA, 431 nt
Filed under: uncultured bacterium
Lineage: Bacteria
Description: bacterial SSU rRNA
Rfam family: Bacterial small subunit ribosomal RNA
Source: RNAcentral
AACGCGAAGAACCUUACCAAGGCUUGACAUAUAGCGAAAAGUGGCAGAGAUGUCAUGUCCGCAAGGGCGCUAUACAAGUGGUGCAUGGUUGUCGUCAGCUCGUGUCGUGAGAUGUUGGGUUAAGUCCCGCAACGAGCGCAACCCUCGUUCUGUGUUACCAGCAUUCAGUUGGGGACUCACAGGAGACUGCCGGGGUCAACUCGGAGGAAGGUGGGGAUGACGUCAAAUCAUCAUGCCCCUUAUGUCUUGGGCUGCACGCAUGCUACAAUGGCCGGUACAAAGUGCUGCGAGAUCGUAAGAUUGAGCGAAUCACAUAAAGCCGGUCUCAGUUCGGAUUGAGGUCUGCAACUCGACCUCAUGAAGUCGGAGUUGCUAGUAAUCGUAGAUCAGCAACGCUACGGUGAAUACGUUCCCGGGUCUUGUACACACCG